This 13600-nucleotide long non-coding RNA is filed under the name Gossypium barbadense (sea-island cotton). Its description in RNAcentral is "long non-coding RNA (GBAR_LNC005988)". Lineage: Eukaryota; Viridiplantae; Streptophyta; Magnoliopsida; Malvales; Malvaceae. The record is from RNAcentral.
UUCUAUUAAAAUUCAUUGAUAAAAAAGAUGGCAUAAUGCCAAUACAUAUACCAGUCAUAAACUGGUCAGCUUUGAUAAGUUUCACUUACUAUUUUUAGGCUUCAUUUCAACUUGCACAACUUGCACAUUGCAACUUGCAAAUCACAACUUGCACAAUUAGGUAAGCUAAUCUAUCAAUCUUAUCAGCACCGAAUGCAUUAAAUACAUUAUCUACUUGGUUCAAAUUAAACUAAGUUACAAAAUAUUACUUAAAGUAACAAAAUGAAACUGAAAUUGAACAGUAGCAUCAACUUCAGUAGCUGCACGUGCUUUAUCUGGGAAUACCACAGCAGCUUGAUCUUCAUACUUCAUCUACAUAACUUGGACUACAUUUACUUCAUCUGCAUAACUUAUGUGGCAUUGUCUGCUCCUUAGCUGCUUCAUGUGCUGCAUGCAAGCCAACUUCAAUAGAUUUGCAAACAAAACUUGGCAGGGUUGUAUUAGGGAAUGGAAGAGAAACCACCUCUCGGUUGGUAUAAGAUUUAAUACUGAUGAUGGUAGAAACAGUACAACCGACUUUGCUGCCAUAGGUGGUGUAUCAUGGGGGUUAUUGGUUUAGAAAAUUUGCGCAUAACCUUAAUUGUUGCUCAAUCAUUGAAGCAGAAAUGUAGGAGGCGUAUGAUGGUUUUUAUAACAUGCUUGGAACAUGAGGGUGAAGAGGAGAGCCUUGCAGUGGUCCAGCUACUUCGCAAUAAAAUGGAAAUGCAGAGCAGCAAUGCAAUCUAUCCUUCAAAUAGAAGUAUGUUGGAAAUGGGUCUAAACGUUAAUAUUAUAUAAGUCUACAUAGAAGGAAAGGGUCUUCCUUCCUACUUCACGUUUCAUUUACUAAACCAAUAAUUGGCUUGAUCAUUCUUGUCUUCAUGGAAGAAGGAAACUGCAAAAGAUAGGAUAAAACUGCCCUCAAAAAAAAAAUUACUAACCUUGAACAACAUUGUGAGGAGGGAUAACUACAAAUUCAAACAUGGACAAUAAAACAAACAUAAAAAAUACCUAAUGGAGUCUUAUAAAUAAGGAAAUUGCAUGUUAAAACGCUUAUGCAAUUAACAAUUACUACACAUUUACUAAGCCAAUUGGCUUGGUCUUUUUGUCUUCAUGGAACUUGGUAAAGAGAGUGAUGAAACCAUCAUACACCCCACAAAAUGACAGAUAAAAUUACUAACCUUGAACGACAUUGUUGAGAGGGACAGUUGCAAACUUAAAUAUGGACAGUAAAAUGAACAUGAAAAGUACUAAAUAUAUAUAAUUAACGAUAUAUAAAUAAUCUAGUAUGUUGGUAUUAUAAAUUUACUGUAUUUCAAAAUAUAUAUUCUCUUAGAGAGAGAGAGAGAGAGAGAGAGAGAGAGAGAGAGAAGAGGGAGGGAGGGAGGGAGAAGGAGCAUUAGGAGGAUUCUUCUACCAAGAGAGUGACUUAUACUUUCAUAAUAACAGCUUACAAUUUGCUUAAAAAGAAGAGACAAGUGACAAUUUUUGAGUCUUAUGAAAAAGUAAGACUUGUGUUAAAAUGCUUAUACAAUUAACCACUACAUCACAUUUACUAAACCAAUUGGCUUGGUCUUCUUGUUUUCAUGGAAGAACCUGCAAAAGAUAAGGAUGAAACCAUCAUAUACCCCCUUAAAAAAAAACUAAUUCAAUCAACCCGAUGUUACAUAAUUACUAACAUUUAACCAUAUUGUGGGGGAGAGGUAACCAGGAUUUUCUUAGAGAGAGAGAGAGGACAUGUGCAAGAGCAUUAGGAGGAUUCUUCUCAAAAUUGCCAAGACAGUCACUUACACUUUCUUAAUACUGACUUACAAUUAACUUAAAAAAAAGAAGACAAAUAAAAAUUUUGCAGUCUAAUAAACAAGCAAGUCCGUGUGUUAAAAUGCUUAUGCAAUUAACCACUACUUCACAUUUACUAAACCAAUUGGCUUGGUCUUCUUUUUUUCAUUGCGGAACCUGUAAAAGAAAGGGAUGAAACCAUCAUACACACCCUCGAAAAAAAUGACAUAGAUAUAAUUACUAACUUUGAACGACAUUAUUGGGAGGGACAGUUGCGAGCUUAAACAUGGACAGUAAAAUGAACAUGAAAAAUGACAAAUAUAUAUAUAAUCAUCGAUUUCUAAACAAUCCAGUAUGUUGGUGUUAUAAAUGUAGUGUAUUUCAAUAUAUAUUUUGUUAGAGAGGGGGAGAGAGAGAGAGAGAGAGCAUUAGGAGAAUUUUUCUCAAAAUUGUCAAGAAAGUCACUUACACUUUCAUAAUUCCGACUUACAAUUAACUUAAAAAGAAAAACAAAUAACAACUUUAGAGUUUUAUAAAUAAACAAGAAGUGUCUUAAAACACUUACGCUAUUAACCACUACUUAACAUUUGCUAAACCAAUUGGCUUGGUCUUCUUCAUGGAGGAACUUGCAAAAGUGAUGCAACCUAUCCGAGAUGAUAGUGAUGAAACCAUCAUACAACCCCCUCCCCUCCAAAAAAAAAAAAAACAAAAACAUUUUAAUCAACCUUACAUUAUGGAUAAAAUUAUUUACUUUAAACAACAUUAUUGAGAGGGGCAGCUAUAAACUCAAACAUAAAUAGUAAAAUAUAUAUUUUCUUAGAGAGAGAGGACAAGUGGAAGAGCAUUAGAGAGAUUCUUCUCAAAAGUCACUUAUGAAAUUGUUAAGAGAGUCACUUACACUUUCAUAAUACUGACUUAAAACGAAGAGGUAAGUAACAAUUUUAGAUUCUUAUAAACAAGACAGACGUGAUAAAAUGCUUAUGAAAUUAACCACUACUGCCCUCCUACCGUUUAAACAAUGGACACAAAUCCUAAAUAUUGAUGUAUGCUUACUGCAAUUGAACCUAUUCGAAAUUCGAUAACUUUGAAGCUACUUGAACCACUAAUUAGUCAAAAUACCUACAUAUAUUACCAGAAGUAACUGCAGUUGAAGGAAUCUUACACCUGAAACAGUCAAGCUACACUUAUCGAAAUGUAAAACAUUAAUCUAACAAGACAAACACUGACUAGUAUUUUCUUUUUCCUACUUAAGAAGCUUAAAUACUAGUAAAGCCACAGUCUUCCAUGACUGAACAUAUAAAUCAAGAGUGACAGCAAAUCUACUGGAUGUUUCACAUCCUAACUUUCUCUAGAUAAAUAGAACAAUUUUCUUGUUUUGCCUUGACUCUAAAAUCUCUUAUAACCCUAAGCAAUAUCGCAGAUUGUGACCAUUAAUAUCGAAUGGGUUUUAUUCCCACUAACCUUGUUAAUGCUUUACAACACCAAUGAAUUCUAUGCAAUCUUAAAAUUGAGGAGCUCCACAAGUGAAAUCAUGACAGCAAUAACAAUAUUUUUAUAGUAAUUUCUCAAAGAUUCAUCAACUUUCAGUUUAGUAUCUCUGCAAAUCUUUGAUGAUUCUCCAAUUAUACAGACUAGACUUCAAUAAAGCAUUCAUUAUUAUGAUACUCUUGAUUCAGGUUCAUUAAACAAACGGUUUGAAGAACACACACCUGCUAGCCAUUUUGCACCGAAAUAUGCUAAGAGAGAUGUUAGUCACAGUCUUAAAUUAUUGACGGACCCAUGGUUUCAAUAAACCUUUCCAUACCUUCAAAGAAGUAAGUUUUCAAUGGUAAGGACUUGCAAUCGAACUGUAAUGGCCAAUUUUGACCCAGGCACAAGAAUAAAACAAUAAAUAACCAAUUAAUAAAACCUAGUGCCGCCCCUAACCUCUGCCACCAGCUGCCAUGGCAGCACCACCACCUGCUCCCGUUCCAUCGCCUGCAAACAGAGAAAAAGAAGCACGCAACAGAGAACCAAAACCCACACGCAACAAUAAAGGAACAAGCAGGAACGACAAAAAAAAUAGGAGUAAACAAGUCUUGUGAAUCUUAUAAAAACCCGAAAUUUACCUUUGCAUUUUUUUUAGCCACAAACAAAAGGCAGAAACUAUUAAUCUAAAAGAGAUUUUAAGGUGAUUUUUGGUUUUUACAAUAGUUUCUUUCAUCUAGUUCUUGGUUUUGAUUUCAUUUUUUUUCGUGUUUUAGUUCUUUUUUCUUUUUCAUGUACGAAAAUAAACGAAAAGGUAAAGAGAAAGGUAACCUCACCUUGAUCUUCCCACGGACUCAUCGCUGGAGAUCUCUUCUCCAAUGGCCAAAGUCGAAUCGGGGAGAGGGGGGACCUUUCUUUCGAUUUCUUGAGGGUUGAGAAGGCAUGGCCUUCGAAUGUGCCUCAAAACGAGGCUAAGAAGCCCAUCUCCGCACUUUCUGUUCUUUUUAAAAUUGGGGGCUGGAAAUGAAAUUAGAAAAGAAAGGUUUUUUUGUUGUAUAAAUGAUGAUGAUGGAAGGGCGCCGUUUGGUGGAGUGGGGGGUGUGCAUUCUCCCUAAAUGGGGAAUCUGCGAGAUUGGUCCUUCUCCUUUGCAACUUCAUUCGAUCAGGCCCCAGCUUCUGUUUUCUUUUGUUUUUUUAAUUUAGCUCUUAGAUUUCGCUUGGGUUACAUUCGGGUCCUUUGAAACACUGCACAUAGGGGUUGAGAAUAUUUUCCCAAUCAGUCCCUCGUUCUUUAUGCGUAUUUCAUUUCGGUCCUUAGUGGCCCCUUUUCUUUUUUUUAUUUACAAUUUGCACCUUAAAUCUUAAUUAAAUUUCAGCUUAGUCCUAAUAUAUUUAAUUUGUUCAUUUAUUUAUUAUUUCAAUUUUUUUAGGAGCUAUUUUACUGUUAGUUAUUUUAAAUUUGUUUAUCUUACAUUAUUUAUAUUAGACCAUUUUAUUAUUAAUUAUUGUAAAUUGUUAUUGGUUUUAAAUAUUUUUUACAUAUAUUAUUUGUUUUAACCCCUAUACAUAUUACUUAUUUUGAAAUAUUUUAUACGUUAUUUGUUUUAAACUAUUAUAUAUGUAUUUUCCAUUUUGAGUUUCUUUUCAUACUUUAUUUAGUUACACUAUUCUAAUCGUUUAAAAUUCAUCUUUUUUUAAUUUCCCAUAUAUUAUUUAUUUUAAUAUAUUCUUUACUUUAGAUUAUUUUAUAUAUGUCCUAUUCUAAAUUUUCAUGUGUAAUAUUUAAUUUAAACUGUUUUAUAUGUUAUUUACUUUAAAUUUUUAUAUAUUAUUUAAUUUAAAUUUCUUUUUACAUAUUAUUAUUUUGAGCUCUUAAUAUUUAUUUUAAAUUUCUUUAUAUAUUAUUCUAAACUUGUCUUUACGUAUAUUUAUUUAAAAUUGUCUUAUACAACUUAUUUUAAACUCUCUUAUUUGUUUAAAAUUGUUUUAUUAUUGUUCAUUUUGGUUUUUUUUGACAUAGUAUUUAUUAUAUAUAUCAUCUAUUUUAAAUUGAUUUGUAUAUUGUCGAUUUUAAAUCUCUUUUUUUCACAUUAUUUUAAUCCCAUUUAUUGUCAUUUUAAAAUGGUUUUACAUCUUAUUCAUUUUUAUUUGCUUUAUACCUUUUAAAUUAUUAUUAAAUUCAUUUGCCUUUAAUUGUUGAGGUUAACAUUUAAAUAAUGUACCUUGUGUGAUUAUUGCCAUUGUGUGAAUUUUGAUUCGUUUAUUUCGAAAUUUUGCAUUACUGUUUUUCAUUUGUAUAAUGUUGUGUCCAUUUAUAUUUGUCUCAUAUUCAUUACUAUAUUUUCAUAUCAUCACCUCGUGAAUCAAGCCUCGUUGCAUUUAUCCAAUAAAUCGCUUUAUUUUAACCUAAACAAAUAACAUACGUCGUUUAAAUGUCGUAUUCGCUACUAUUCAAAAACAAAAAUUUCAAAAUAAGGCAAUAUUUCGCGUUUUGAAGCAUCGAAGAAUUGUGCCCUAACUUACGGGGUUUUGGUUCUCUCGUUGAUUCUAAAUAGUUAAAUAUCCCUUUGAGUUUAAAAUACACGGAAUUCCAAUUGGAAUUAAAGACAAGCCUGCGCUCGGGAAUUCAUGGUAACGUGUCCUAACUUACGGGAUGUGAUACUCCGAUAUCUCGAGACGAGGAAAUCUUUAACGAUCGUUUUGAGCUAAUUCAAGUGUUUUCUUUUCUUAAAAAUUAUCGCUAAUAAAAAAGGAUCGUAUUUUAAAUUCGUUCUCGAUAUUCAAUUUUUGACAUUAAAACACUAACUAAUCAAUCCGGUACCAAUUUUUGGGCGUGUCGAGGGUGCUAACCCUUCCUCGAGCGUAAUCAACUCCCGAACUUGUUCUCUUGAAUUUAGUAGACCAAAAUGUCGUUUUAAUAAACUAAAUUUUUUUAUCUAAAACAAAGGUGAUUUGAUCACACCAAAUAAAGAUCGGUGGCAACUCUAAUUUUAAUUAUCAUUUUCAAACCAAAGUCGAUUCCUGCGUUUUCAAAAAAAUGGUUUCGACAGCUUGGCGACUCCACUGGGGACUUUGAGAGUCGAGCCAUAAAUUGAUUGAUUUUUGUCCUUUGUCGAAAAUUGAAAACUCGUUUUUAAACUUAUGAUCCCUUUAUUGCAUUUUAUCCGUUUUUUACGGUUUACAUUAUUUUUCCUAUUUUCUUUAUUGCCUCGGGUUUUUCUUAUCAUAUAUCCUCGCACAUUGCAUUGCAUGACCGCUGUGGUCACACCUUUUAAGUGGGAGUGAGAAGCUAUGCCUUCAUGAGGUUUUCACCUCCGCAUGGGCUAGUGGAUCGCUUUCGGGAUACAUCCGUACCUAUGUCUUCGUGAGAUUUUCAUCUCCGUGCAGCCAUAGGGAAAUAUAUUCCCUUGAACUGAACUCUAUCCAUAUGAGCCUAUAACGGGUGAAGAUCGAGGAAUCUGCUGGUUCGGGUACCUUUACUCUAGAACCGAGCCACAUAUAGAGAGACCUAGGAGCUUACCCUAGGUAGAGCUACUCCAAACCCCUAGUGGUCACCCGAAUAGGUGCUUUAUUUGUUAUUUAUUUCUCCUGUACUAACGUGUUUUGUUUUUGUUUUGAUGAUAACUGCAUUGCAUUACAUCAUUAUAGAAAGGAGGUGUUGAUUCAUAUCCGAUUGCUAAAUAGAACAGUUUGUCAUAAGAAAUGAAUUUCUUGAUAAAGUGGAUUUUAACACGGUUGUCUAAAUAUGGUCCAAGUAAACACAAUGAAGGAAGAUUGAUAGUCCAUGAAGAAAUACACGACUUUGCUUCAUCGCCUGAGGAUUUAAGUUAACAAAGAUUAUUCGAGAGCCGUCAUGUCUUAAAGAAGCUAACGAGCAUCGCGGGGAUAAAUAAGCAAUGGGCCGCAAUCUAGAUCGAGCAGAAAGGAAAUAAUAGAGACAUAUUUUGAAAAAUUCACAAGACUCGACGAUAAUAUCCGGAUAUGAAGAGGAAGAUAGGUGUCUUCGCUUGGAAUAUGAGAGAAAUGCCGUAUAUGUAAUCCGUUUUAUGUAAAGGAAUUUGUUUUCUAGAGAAGUUGUUCUAAUGAAAUUGAAUUCAGAAUAAACACAUUCCUUUCUUUUGCAUUCAUUCCAUGCAUUUGCAUUUGCAUUGCAUUAUUUGCAUUGGACUUUCCCUAAAAGAACCCUAAUUAGGUAAAAUUAUUUCAGUUAACCUGGGAACUGAUAAAAGUCAAGCAACUAGGCAUCUUUACAGUACAAGGAAAAGGAAAAAAGAUAUGGAUCAAAUAUUGAAAAGACUGGAAAAACUUCAAAAAGAGAUGCAAGACCAGUUACAACUGCAAAUGCAAGAGCAACUAGCGAAGAUCCAGCAAGAUAUGAGGGACUGAAUGAUAGAGUCCCAAAGGAAUAUGAUGAAUCAGUUGUCCCAAGUACUGACUAAGGGGCUAGGAAAAGAAAAAAACUCGAUGAUCAAUGUUGGAGAGGACAAUGAGGAGCCUCUGUACCCUCUGAGUUUCACCCCGAUAAAUGAUCAGAUAUGUCCGCAAAAUGUACCUGUUGCUAUCAGAUCACAACAACAUCAGGUCGGUACCUCAGCACCCAUGAACUACCCGACGGGCUCAGGUUCCAAUCCAAGGAACAGUCCAACCAAUCAUGAAGUUCCUGAUCUAAACGAAAUGGCAGGAAUAGAAAAAACAAAGGUUGAACUGCCAAGACAACUCGAAGAUCGAUACAAGUGGUUGGAAGAAAAACUUAGAGCGAUGGAGAAUAUUGAUUAACAUCGCGGGGUUAAUGCCAAAGAUCUCAACUUAGUCCCAGAUUUAGUACUCCCGCCAAAAUUCAAGACUCCAGAAUUUGAAAAAUAUAAUGGGACUAGUUGUCCUAAAGCUUACAUCAUGAUGUUCUGCCAAAAAAUGACAGGUUACGUUGAUAACAAUCAACUGUUAAUUCAUUGCUUCCAAGAUAGUCUGAUUGGGUCAGCGGCCAAAUGGUACAACCAACUGAGUCGUGCCAAAAUUCAUUCAUGGAAGGACUUAGCACAAGCUUUCAUGAAGCAAUAUGGCCACGUGACAGACAUGACGCCUGACAGAAUUACACUACAGAAUAUGGAAAAGAAGUAAAGUGAGAGCUUUAGACAAUAUGCCCAAAGAUGGAGAGAGGUAGCGGCGCAAGUCCAACCACCUCUUUUGGAGAAAGAAACUACGAUGUUUUUCGUCAACACUCUGAAAGCCCCAUUCAUUACCCAUAUGUUGGGAAGCGUUACCAUGAGCUUCUCAGAUAUAGUAAUGUUCGGCGAGAUGAUUGAAAACACAAUCAGGAGCUGGAAGAUAGACGCAAGAGAAAGCGCCAAAAGGUCAACCCCAAAUAGAAAUGAAAAUGAAGUGAAUAAUAUGAGCAAAGGGUACCCUAAAUUGAUCAACAUAGGCCAGACGAGGCAGGAAUCCAACUCGAGGCUGAAUACAGAAAGGCUCUAGUUUACACUCAUCCCAAUGUCAUAUGAGGAGUUGUAUCAAAAUCUCUUUGAUGUACAUGUUGUGUCUCUGUUUUACUCAGAACCUGUGCAACCUCUGUUCCCAAAAUGGUAUAAUGAGAAUGCUCAAUGCGAGUACCACGCAGGAAUAACGGGACACUCAAUCGAAAACUACACUACAUUUAAAAAGUUGGUCGAAAGGUUCAUUGAAAUGGGAAUUGUGAAGUUCGACGAUUCCUCAAAGCCUAAUCGUUCUGACAAUACAGUAAAUGUGACAUUUGCAAGUGAGAGCAAAAGAGUUGCGAUGCCUUGAACAAAGCCUGGAAAGAAUAUUGGAGAAUCUGAAUGACUUAUCCGAAGAAGGAAUCGGGUAAUAAAAGUUUCCAAACCCUUGCAUUACUUAGAAGUGUUUUGAACAAUGAGACUGUGGAAGAGAUUCCUUUAUUCUUUGAGCUAAUCUAGAGUAAUAUUCAAAACACGCUUGUUGCUUUAAGCCUAGAAGCAAUUAGACCCCUUUUGUGAAAUAGGCUUGUGUCCUAAGUCUUUAUUUCAAUAAAAUGCAUCUUUUUGAGCAAAUAUUCUUUUAUUUUAUUUCAUAUUGUACAAAUAAUCGUUCUUAGAUUCGUUUGUUCUUUGGACUUUCUUUCAAAUAUUCAUGUAUACUUCAUUCAUGGUCAUACCAUAUAAAUAAUCAUCCUUAGAAUCUGCCUUCAGCGGGUCCCUAGAUAUCAAUGAUGUGAGUAACGCUGUCACUGACUCCGAGUCUCAUUUUGAGCGAAAUAUGGGCCUAAAGGGAUCUUAACACUUUGAAGAUGAUAGAGAUGUAGACAACUCCCUAAUUUGUUAAGGAUGGUAGAGUAAGAUGAAAACAGAUCAUCUCUUACAAAAAGUCAGUGGAUAGUAGGCCUAGGACAAGAGAAAGAUGCAAACAUCAGAGUCUGUAUCACCACAAAGGCAAAGCGAGACAUCAUUGAAUCACUUCCAAGAAUUUAAAGAUUUUUUGCACGAUCGUAUCAAGAUACGCCGGGUUACUAAGACAUGAGGAUGUUGUAAGGUUUUGAAUGACAUAUGCUAAUGGUUUUAUGAUGGCCAGGCUAAUCAUGAGAUUUGGGUUUUGUUGGUCCUCCGUAAAGGGAUUGCAUCAGUAUGCCGUAAGUGCCAAAUUUAUGGAGAGAAAAUUCAUGUUCCCCUUCAUUCUUUCAAUUUUCUCUAUGUGGGGCAUGGAGGUUAUUGGGUUGAUCUCGUUGAAAGCUUCUAACAAGCAUCAAUUACUUCACCUAGAGGGUGAGAGUCGCUUCAUAUGCCAAUCAUCAAAUCCUGAAAAAAAAAAGAUCAUGGAAAAAUGACUGAGACUUGUAAAGAUUGGCAUAAGAAGUCAUCAUGUACCCUCUAUACUCAUCAAACGUUGGCCAAGACCUUCGCCGGGGCAACAUAUUUCAUUAGUCUAUGGGAUAAAAAUGGUUUUGAAGAAGAGUUUCCUUGUCUCUGAAUCUUGAAAAAGUUGAAGUUGGAUAAGGCAAAAUGGAUCUAAUCCCGAUAUGAUCAGUUGAAUUUAAAGAAAAGAGGUUGAAAGCCAUCUGUCAUGGUUCAAUGAAUGAUGUGAGCUUACGAUAGAAAAGUUCCAUGAGGGAAAACUUGAUAUUGAAGAAUAUCCCUCCUAUACAAAAGGACUUCAGAGGAAAGUGGAUGUCAAACUAGGAAAGACCUUAUAUAGUAAAGAAGGCCUGUUCUGGAAGAGCAUUAAUUCUAGUCUAAAUGAAUGGCAAAGAUUUGCCCAAUCCGAUGAAUUUAAAUCCAAUCAAGGAGUAUUCUACCUAAAAAGAAAGAGGCCAAGAUGAAAACCCACAAAGGGCGCAUUAAAAAAAAAAAGAGGCCAAUGUGAAAACUCGCAAAGGGCACCUUGAGACCAAAUGGAUUUUGAAUUGAAAACUCGAAAAGGGCGGCUCAAAUUUGGAUCAAAGUGGGGUAUGCAGCUGUCUUGCUAUGCCUGAAUUAACAAUGAAGAAGUAUGUUACGUCUUGGGGCAUCGACGAAGUACUCCGGAUCCUCUAAACACAUAUUGAGCUCAGAAAGGUCCUCAAGAAGUUGGUACAGAGAAGCUCAAGCUGCGAUAUCUGGGGCACCUAGCUUCCAUUUUGCCCAUUUUUGAAUUUUUUAUCUUUGAUUAUCUUAUUAUUUUCAAGAUAUGUCCCGAUAAAUUUCCUUCUUAUUGCAUUGCUAUAUUUGAUUAACUUAUUCAUUUUGAGUUAAUUUCCUCCUUAUUGCAUUUGCAAUCUUUGAUUAAUUUAUUCAUUUCGAGCUAUGCUCCCAAUCAAUUUCCUUCUUGUCCAUUGUUUUAAUCUUUUUCUAGCAUUUUGCAUUGAAAUAACGAUUAAUGGACCAAUAAUACUUUCACAAAAGAAGUUCUGCAUAUUACUUUGGAAGCUUCUAAAUAGUACAAGAGCCCGAAACAGGACUAUUAUUCAGAACUCACCAAGCCCAAGGGUUGGAAAUAUUUAAGCCCAAAUUGAAAUUAUCUCAUUGGGUUUUCUGUCAAAGAUAUUGGUUGAGCAAAAAGAAAUUACAUUGGUGUUAUAAUCCUGGCAAAGAACGAGCAAUGGGAUUAUUUUCGGGAAAAGAAAAAUGAUACUCUGCAUUUAUACAAAUAUCAGGCGUAUACAUCUGGUCAUUACACUCAGGGAAUAGUGUAACAGAUCAAACUGAUUGAAGAUGAUACAAAUCCUGUACCUUUGAGUUGCAGCAGGAUGGAUGGAAGAAACCAAAUGUUGUUCACCUGAAAUUGCAGUGGGAAGCACAAACUUUAUGUCCCAGAAGGUACAGUGGAAGGGACUUUGAAAUUACAGCGAGGCAAGCUUGCUAAGCAAAAUGUGAUUGUUUCUUUGACUUUUCUGUCAAGAAUACCAGCCGAAUAAGAUGGCAGCAUAAUACGUCAGUGGUAAUGUCUUGAUGAACAACGAGCGAUGAUACCUUAAGCCUUUUUAAAGGGAUCAUUUUCAUUAUAUAUCAUCCAUAACACAUCUAAUUAGGAGCAUUUGAUUCAUUUCGAUCAUAGCAUCCUAAUUAUUUGACACAUUCACAACACAUCUAGUUAGGAGCAUUUGAUUCAUUUCAAUCAUAACAUCCUAAUCAUUUGACAUAAGCAUAGAUAUAUAGAACUGAUUCUACAGGUCAUGUCCCUAGAAUCAGUGACUUCACCAAGCCUUAACCCCCUAAGCAGUAGGCUAAUAGGCUAAAAAUUACGAAUCUAGACUUGCAGUGAGGCAGAUUCAAGCCACCAAGCCUUAACCCCCUAAGCAGUAGGGUAAUAGGCUGAGAAUUACAUAUCUUGUCUCCCUGAAGUUACGGUGGAACAGAUCGAAUCCAGCGAAUCUUAUCUUCCUGAAGUUGUAGUGAAGUAGAUUGAAGUCACUAGUCUUGUCUCCCUGAAGUUGCAGUGGAACAGAUCAAAAACGGUGAGCCUUAAACCCCUAAGCAGUAGGGUAACAGGCUGAAUUUACAGAUCUUAUCACCCUAAGCAGUAGGGAAACAGAUAGAAGACGGUAGAUCUUGUCUCCCUAAAGUUGUAGUGGAGCAGAUCGAAUACAGUGAAUCUUGUCUUCCUGAAGUUGCAGUGAAGCAGAUUGAAGUCACUAGUCUUGUCUCCCUGAAGUUGCAAUGGAACAAAUCGAAGACGGUGAGCCUUAAACCCCUAAGCAGUAGGGUAAAAGGCUGAAUUUACAGAUCUUAUCACCCUAAGUAGUAGGGAAAUAGAUCGAAGAAGGUAGAUCUUGUCUCCCUGAAGUUUCAGUGGAGCAGAUCGAAUACAGCGAAUCUUGUCUUCCUGAAGUUGUAGUGAAGCAGAUUGAAGUCACUAGUCUUAUCUCCCUAAAGUUGCAGUGGAGCAGACUGAAGAUAGUAAAUCUUAUUUCCCUGAAUUUGCAGUGGAACAGAUUGAAGCUAAAUUACAGAUCUUAUCUCUCUGAAGUUGCAGUAGAGCAGAUCAUCACAAAUCUUAUCUCUCUGAAGUUGCAGCGGAGCAGACUAAAGAUAACAAAUCUUAUCUCCCUAAAGUUGCAGUGGAAUAGAUUAAAGCUAAAUUACGGAUCUUAUCUCUCUAAAGUUGCAGUAGAGCAGAUCAAAACAAACCUUAUCUCCCUGUAGUUGCAGUGGAGCAGUGGAUUGGAAUGAGGCUAUUUGAAGAAGAUAACCACCAAAGGAAGUCGAGACUCGGCAAGACCAGUCAAAAUUGGCCCUUUUGAAGUCUUUGCUUCAUUCUUGUUACUCGACAAUGAGCAAAGAGGGGCAGCUGUAAUGGCCAAUUUUGACCCGGGCACAAGAAUAAAACAAUAAAUAACCAAUUAAUAAAACCUAGUGCCGCCCCUAACCUCUGCCACCAGCUGCCAUGGCAGCACCACCACCUGCUCCCGUUCCAUCGCCUGCAAACAGAGAAAAAGAAGCACGCAAUAGAGAACCAAAACCCACAUGCAACAAUAAAGGAACAAGCAGAAACGACAAAAAAAAUAGGAGUAAACAAGUCUUGUGAAUCGGUUAUAAAAACCCGAAAUUUACCUUUGUAUUUUUUUUAGCCACAAACAAAAGGCAGAAACUAUUAAUCUAAAAGAGAUUUUAAGGUGAUUUUUGGUUUUUACAAUAGUUUCUUUCAUCUAGUUCUUGGUUUUGAUUUCAUUUUUUUUUCGUGUUUUAGUUCUUUUUUCUUUUUCAUGUACGAAAAUAAAUGAAAAGGUAAAGAGAAAGGUAACCUCACCUUGAUCUUUCUACGGACUCAUCGCUGGAGAUCUCUUCUCCAAUCGCCGAAGUCGAACCGGGGAGAGGGGGGACCUUUCUUUCGAUUUCUUUGGGGUUGAGAAGUCAUGGCCUUCGAAUGUGCC